This 443-nucleotide ribosomal RNA is filed under the name uncultured bacterium. RNAcentral describes it as "partial 16S ribosomal RNA". It matches the Rfam family "Bacterial small subunit ribosomal RNA", at positions 338 to 795 of the family's 1533-position model. The record is from RNAcentral.
CCUCCGGGAGGCAGCAGUGGGGAAUAUUGGGCAAUAGGCGCAAGCCUGACCCAGCAACGCCGCGGGCAGGAAGAAGGCUUUCGGGUUGUAAACUUCUUUUCUGCGAGACGAAGAAAGUGACGGUACCUCAGGAAUAAGCCACGGCUAACUACGUGCCAGCAGCCGCGGUAAUACGUAGGUGGCAAGCGUUAUCCGGAUUUAUUGGGUGUAAAGGGAGUGUAGGCGGGAAAGCAAGUCAGAUGUGAAAACUCAGGGCUCAACCCUGAGCCUACAUUUGAAACUGUUUUUCUUGAGUGGUGGAGAGGCAAUCGGAAUUCCGUGUGUAGCUGUGAAAUGCGUAGAUAUACGGAGGAACACCAGUGGCGAAGGCGGAUUGCUGGACAGUAACUGACGCUGAGGCGCGAAAGCGUGGGGAGCAAACAGGAUUAGAUACCCUGGUAGUC